CUUGUUUUAAGCAGUUGGUUACUUCAGAUUUUUGACGUAAAUUUUCCGUGUUAAAACUUUUUAAGGAAUUAAAAUGUUUCUAAACAUCCUUUCCCACGCAAAUUCGUCUGCUCAUGACAAGCUCCACCUGUGCAGUGUUUGAGGAAUCUACGUUGACGGCAAAGACCUUGCAGUGGACACCCGAUCUGGAAACUUGAAUGACGUCGACACUCCACAAGAUACAACAUAUCAGCCCAAAGUUACUGAAACCAUCACUUCUUCUGAGUAUCAUUUACAUUUAGUCAUUUAGCAGAUGCCUUUAUCCGAAGCGACUUAUAAGUGAGGUAAACAAUAGAAGCAAUCGUAUCAACAUAAGGACAACAAAAACCACAGGUGCAGUAAAAAACUGCUCUUGUAGCCUACCACAGUACACAAACCAUCUUCACACAACAUUUCAUUUAGGUCUUAGUACUGGAUUCAUUAUACUGCUAUAGUUCAUGAAUCGUGACCUGACAGUGAACUUGAGAAACAUGAUAUAUGGUUUAUGGCUAAAAAGGUUCCUAUUAAUAAAUGUAUUGAGCAUGUGAAUAUCUGGCUGCCUAAACCUGUAACAUCUGAAGAGGUUGAUGUAAAAGAUAAUGAUGAUAUUGGUCCAGAAUGUUUCAUAUGUAUCUAAGGGUACCACUGCCUCUACUAAGAGCAGUUCAAAAAGUAGGAAUUCUUCCAUAAUAUCAGCGUGUGUAUAGGCCGAGGCUGAGAGAGCUGCACUGAUGGCACUAGACUACACUAACAAUUAUUUUGAUCAUCGAUUAUUUGGAUAUUUUAAUCAAUAAAAUAUACAAGGCUAGAUUAAAAUUGAAGGAUAAAUAGAUUUUUGUUGAAAGCAAGAGAUGUGAAUAUCAAUAUCAAAUCGAUUCAAUUUCGAUUCAGAGUCACGAUUGGAUGGAUCUUGUCCUUCAGUUUUGUAUUAUUAAUGACACACCUGGAACUCUAUUCUAGCUGUUCUGGACCCCGGAGCUGGGGCCCCUGCUGGACCUACCCUGGAGGCCCUGCCCAGCUGGCUUCCAGGGCUUGAGGAACUUUGUCUAAUGGGCAGGUCCCCGGAGCUGCAAGACCUCCUGGGUUGGCCCCUGGUAGCAGAUGGACUGCAGUGGUGGUUCCAUGAUGUCCUUGUGCCGGAUGCCCUGGAGCACUAUUUUGACACAAAAAAGAUAUUGUUAGCUUAACAUUCUGGCUUCUUUUAACAUGCUUUCAACAAAAUCACUAACAUUUUCUUUCUUAAUGGCAAAUGUUUUUACAGAUCAAGUAGAGGAAUCACUCAAUGUUGAGGAAAAAAUUAUGUAAUCAUCUUUACUUUCAUUUCUAAAACGCAUAUUAGGACAAGUCUAAAAAUACUUAUAAAUCUUCAGUUAAAAGGGAGAGCUUACACACAAAAAAAUACAUUAUAUUGGCCUAGUGGUUUUUGGAUAUUUUACUGCAAAAUUCUUACAAACUCUACCUUUAAAAGCAAACACCUUUGUUAGACACAUAUUCUACUGUAACAAUGUUUUUACAUCAUGUUCACUCAAAACAAUUAAAAACAAAUUCAGCUUUUAAGAAGUUACAGCAAUUUAUCACUAGUCAAGAUUUAAAUUCUAAGUAGAAAUUACUUUUAUAGGUUUAUGUAUAAUAUCAAUGAAAUGAUAAAUACAUCUAAAUGUAUUUUAUUUUAAAUUAUUAUUAAAAACUAGUAUAACAUAAUAUAUUUAUACUUUAUAGAAACUUUAUAGAAAAAAAUUUAAUUCAGCAACAUUACAACAAACUUUUGUAAUCCAAUGCAUUUGGUACUCCAAUGCACCCAAUGGUACUCACUUUUUUUUUAGUUCAGUUAGUUUUUUGUCUAAUUUAGUCUAUUAUAUCAAUAGACAUUUGUCGGCACCACCAUGCGACGCACCUUCCUCCGUAUCCAGAGCUGUAUAGCUGAGAGGGGUGUGCCAGUUUUUUAUCUAAUCAUCUUCCCUUGGAAUUACUGGACCCGCCAGUUGAAAUAUCUAGCCCAAGAAGCUGUGAUCUCCCACCUGGGUUGUGCAGACAUGGAGGGGCACGUGUUUGAUAUCUCCUGUCUGCUGUGUAAACUCUUGUUGGGUGCGGUAUGCAACGCUUACUAUGUCAGUGGGUACGCCAGUAAAGAGAUGUCUCCUUGAUCAAUUGCAACAAGAGUGUCCCCAACUGCAGCACAAAAACCAACAGACGCAGAAGAGGAAGAAAUACUCUGUUAAACCACCACGUGAUCUUUAAACAUUUGAGAAACAUCAGGAAAAGAAACAGCAUGCGUAUGCUAAAGCAACUGCCCCGAAGAAACAAAAAGAAGCAGAGAAACUUCAGAAGGAACAAGAACGUCCCCCAGCAUACCCUCUUCUAGGCGUGAGGGUUUACAGCUGGGUUCUAGUGCCCUCGAAGGAGCCGAGAUGUCGCUGUGAACUUCUUCAUUGACCCACUGACUGGAAAGAGCUACACCACCACAGACGAAAGCUUUCUGGGCAUAGACAGCAUUUGGAACGGUGAUAACUACUGGGUCAACAUGCAGGAUUUGGUCGUGGGGAGAUGACCUUUGACUUGAGUGAUCUAUUAAAGUGGGAGUAUAUUUAUGUGGCCCUGUGGAGGAUGGAAUGGAAGAGCAGAAAGUAUUUGAGACGCCUCAAUCUUGGGUGUCUAGAAUAGAAGAAGCAAUCGGUGAAUGACCAGAUGGAGGCUUCUGUUGUCCAGGCGGGAGUAUCAAGUCCCAUCACACCUGAGGUUGAUGCUCAACAGCAGUGCCAGAACAAAGUCAAAAUCAUUGGGAGCCGACUUACAAAGGUUAAAGCCGUACUUUCUGCGAGAGAACAGGAGGAUCUAUUUCCAACACAAACAGAAGAAAGAUGACACGUCGAUGCGUGGCAGAGACGGUGAAUUCAAGCAUAAAUCGAUGACGUAUUACUGUAUGGAUCUACAAUGCUCCUCCCAACAUCUCAUUCCUCAGAAUAAGCAAUCGGUGGAAGAUCAGAUGGAGCCUUCUGAUGUCCAGCCGGAAGUGUCAAGUCCCAACACACCUCUGAGGAUCUGGCUGAUGUUCAACAGCCGUUCCUCAACAAAGCCCAAAUCAUCCGGAGGCGAAUUAAAAAGGCAUGUAGUAGAUGCAGUCAUGGUACCAGAAGAACCAGCUCAACCUCACCAGAGAAGAUGAAGAUGAGUAUCACGCCUACUGCUCUGAUGCACAGCUCAGGAUAAAGGUCGCCAAACAAAGACUCGAUCGUUACACGGAGAAGGCUUCUGAAGGAUGUUACUAGCACGGGAGGAAACACCGAAAAAGAGUGUUCAGAACUGAAAAUCCUCAAUGCUAAAGUCUCACCAAAACAAAUCAAGCAUUAACUUUUAUUAGUGUUAAUGCUGUAAGUUUACUUUUUUGCAAAUAGCACUAGUAAAGAGAGGUUUAAAGUUUGGUAGCAGAAGUAUAAAUGGUCUGUUGUCAUCAUAAAAAAAAUGCAUGUGCAAUUCAUCAUGAAAAGGCAGAUAACUGACAAAAGACAAUAAUGUUACAUACAGAUGUAUAAUUAAGGGCCAUAUAAUUGACUACCUGUGUUUUUCCUUUUUUACUAUACAAUAGUGAUAUAUUAUCCACAUAAAUGACUGUUGUACACAAUAGUAUUUAUUACUAUAGUAAACUGCAGUUAAAUUCUUAAAUACUAUAGUGUUUUUGAACUUAACUAUUGUAUACCCUGCUGAUCAAUUUACUACAAGGGCACUACAAAUUUCAAUAGCAAAUGCUAUAGUACACUACACUUUCUCUCUGAGUGUUCAAUUCGAAUCUUCUGGAAGACUUCACACGUCACACAAUCAGGCAGCUCUGUGUAAUGCACAUAUUCUUAUUAUUGCACAUAUGUCGCACAUGUUUACAUAUAUUUUUUAAGUUACUCGUCCGAUCGGGCAAGUAAAAGUAUCUCUCACUAGCCCAUACAAAACAUUCACUUGUCACGUACUAGCGUUAAUGUCGAGCCCUGAUAAACGUACAAAAUAAAAUAUGAAUUGAAACGGUUAAGUAGUCUUAAUUUAAAAUAUCAGACUUCAGAAAUCUUUUAUUUUGCACGAAUAACCCCCGGGAAGUCUUUACGUGCAUUGGCGAUCGCUGGCCACUAGAUGGCAGUGUGUUCUUUAAAUCAGAUUCACACCUCAGACACAAUCGAUAAAAACUUGUGCACAUACAAAGUUGCAAUCCUCAAUAAUAACAAAAGUAUUAACGUAG
Molecule: long non-coding RNA, 4237 nt
Organism: Triplophysa dalaica
Lineage: Eukaryota; Metazoa; Chordata; Actinopteri; Cypriniformes; Nemacheilidae
Exons: 10
Source: RefSeq, a predicted model, not a curated record